RNAcentral lists this ribosomal RNA (708 nucleotides) under uncultured beta proteobacterium. RNAcentral's name for it is "bacterial SSU rRNA". It matches the Rfam family "Bacterial small subunit ribosomal RNA", at positions 56 to 759 of the family's 1533-position model. The record is from RNAcentral. Lineage: Bacteria; Pseudomonadati; Pseudomonadota; Betaproteobacteria.
UGCANGUCGAACGGCAGCGCGGGGCAACCUGGCGGCGAGUGGCGAACGGGUGAGUAAUAUAUCGGAACGUACCCUGGAGUGGGGGAUAACGUAGCGAAAGUUACGCUAAUACCGCAUACGAUCUAAGGAUGAAAGUGGGGGCUUUGCAAGAACCUCAUGCUCCUGGAGCGGCCGAUAUCUGAUUAGCUAGUUGGUAGGGUAAAAGCCUACCAAGGCUUCGAUCAGUAGCUGGUCUGAGAGGACGACCAGCCACACUGGAACUGAGACACGGUCCAGACUCCUACGGGAGGCAGCAGUGGGGAAUUUUGGACAAUGGGCGCAAGCCUGAUCCAGCAACGCCGCGUGAGUGAAGAAGGCCUUCGGGUUGUAAAGCUCUUUUGUCAGGGAAGAAACGGUGAAGGCUAAUAUCCUUUGCUAAUGACGGUACCUGAAGAAUAAGCACCGGCUAACUACGUGCCAGCAGCCGCGGUAAUACGUAGGGUGCAAGCGUUAAUCGGAAUUACUGGGCGUAAAGCGUGCGCAGGCGGUUUUGUAAGUUUGUCGUGAAAGCCCCGGGCUCAACCUGGGAAUUGCGAUGAAGACUGCAAGGCUUGAAUCUGGCAGAGGGGGGUAGAAUUCCACGUGUAGCAGUGAAAUGCGUAGAUAUCUGCAGGAACACCCGUGGCGAAAGCGGCGCGCUGGACCACUACUGACGCUGAGGAACGAAAG